UUUUCUUUUUCGAAAAAGCCACGCCUCAGUGUAAACCCGCAAAAGAAAUCCCUCAGCCCCCAAAUUCAUAUCGCCGAAGCAAGCCUCAGUUUUUUCCACCUUCAAUCAUAGGUGCUUCGGCCUUGAAUCGCCGGUCUCUAUCUUCAGUCUCUUUGGGAUUACCAAAUCUCAGGUGAACAAAAUUUCUAUCUGCUAGAUGAAAGCAGAAUUUGCCCCCUUUUCAUUUAAGGUACUUCUUCUUUGAAUUUUUUCCUUAUCGGGUGAGGAUGCGGCUGGGUAUGGCUUGGCCAGAGUAUGUAGAUCAAUCUAUUGCCUCAACUUGGUACUUGAAAUGGCAAUCUGAAGCUGAAAUGAGUUUCAGAUCAAGAAAGAUGAAUUGCAGUGGUAUCUUUGGUUCUUGAUUAGAAUUGCAAUAUAUGGCUAUGUAUUGUAUUAUGUGAUAUGCUUUAUGAAGAGAAAAAUUCCAUGGCUUCUUGGUUAUGGACCUUUAAGGAGAAACCCCAACUUACGGAAGUUGCAGAGAGUCGUAUAAUUACCUCCUCGACUCAUUUAUAUAUCUAGUGUCUGGACAAAUGUAUGUUUCUGUUUAUGCAUAGUACAACUUGUUUGUUAUGUUUAACUUAGUGAUUAUUCCUCCAUUGAUCACUACAUUUUACGUGACCCUCCUUCUUUUUAGUCUGUUUAAAGAACAUGCUCACUUUUAAGAACAUGUACACACUACCCUCCCCAAAUCACAGUUGUGGGAUUCCACUAGGUUGUUGUUGUUGUUGUUGUUUUGACCCAUUUUCUUAUAGUUUAUUGAUUCUAUUUCUAGUUAGUAGUUAGUCCAUUUACUUUUGAAGAUAAAGACUUCACUGAAGGAAGGAAUAAAAAAGAUAAAGGAAAUUAGUUUUAUAAUUCAUUUCACCAAAAUAAUCUCACUCAAAUUUGCUAUAUUUAUUUGAAAAUGCAACAUUGGAACUCCAAACCAGAACAAUUACCAUUUUCUCAAUAUCAUUCUCUAAGAACUUCAGUAUUAUUUUAUUGAUUUCUCAUAUAACUAAAUGACCUUUUUAUAGUUUAUUUUUUCUCGUAAGAAUUGAAUGUACUAUAAGAUAUUAAUCGAUUUCUUUAUACUAACAUUCCUUCAUUUCAUGAUGUUAUGUUCAUUACUUGCUUGACUAACUUCUCUUUCUGAAAUUUCUGGAGCUUUGUCUUUUUUCCCCCCAAGUGAUUGAUCUAGAAUAAAUCAUCAAUGGUUAGAGACUAUUUUUUGCACCUAGCAGUUGUCUUAGCUCAAGUUUGAGUGAUAUUUUACUGUUUAGAAGUGAGAGUUUGGGGGGACGAACAUGGGUACAGACUUAUGGGUAACAGAUCUUAUGUUGUGAUAUUCAUAGUGCUCCAAGGAGUUCAACCGGAAAACACGUGGUGGAAGAAUUGGUAUUCUUAGUGCUCUACUUUUAAGAUUUGUUCCCUGUGUUUGGAGGUAAUUACUUCUCUCUUUUUCUGUUUAACUUUCUAUAUCUAUUAUGGUGUGAUCGUCUUAUGCAGUGAUCAAGCGCAGCAAAGUAUGUGCUCUAACUCCUCCUUAAAAUGCUAAUGGAUGCCAGUUUGGGUUCUUAUUUUUUCCAAUGGACUUACUCUUCCUUUUGUAGUUUUAUGUCUAAUUUUUAUAGAGAACUUAAAUAUUAAAUCUUUCAGAGAAUAAACAAUCUUAAGUACUUAGGUAGAUGGAUGUUAUUCCUGAGAUUAUUUUCUUUUGGUUGAUGAACUUGGGUUUAUGUAUUUUUGUUCUGCAGGUACUCUCUGUGUGUGUAUAUUUUCUUUCGGUUAAUGAACUUGGGUUUAUUGUGUGUAUAUUAUACUAAAGGUUUCUAUCAUAAAACAGCUUCAGCCACAAAGAUUCUCAGAGAGUACAAAAAUAUCAACAGAAGCUGCUAUACUGAAGGCAUGUCUCUAGCUCACCGACGACUUUAAAGAGGAUUUACCGGUAAGUUCCCGAUGUUCAAAAUUAAAAGUUAUGACAUAGUUGAUUGGUGGAUGAUCAGAAUUCAUAUUUCUUUUCUUAUUUUAUUAUGAUGUUUGCUCUAUUUUGUUCUCUCGGUUCCUGUCCUGUUUCUUUCUUCAAUUCUCCGAGAUUUAGUCUAACUCUGUUGAGCAUUCCUUGGGUUAUUCCUGCUCUUGCUUUAUUAUUUUUGGUAACCAAAAUUUAUGUAUAUAUGUUUCCUAUCCUUUUGAAUAUAACUUCUUGCUGGAAUUAUUACAUGCAUGGUGGUAAUUGUACUUGAUUUGCUCGUGUAUUUUAUCUCUUUGAUGCACGUGCUCUUAGUUACCAACUAAUUGGUGCAUAAUUAAACUAUCUUAUGGGAAAUCUGAGGUAUAACAAAAAAGAAUGAACGAAAUUUGGAUUGUGCAACUCAAGGUGUUUGAUGAUAUGCCUGAUUAAUCCUAUUUAUAUUGCAAUAAUAUCCUCUAUCCAUUAGGAAUCUCAUGUAGAAGACCUAUAAAGAACGUAAAUCUUGUAAAUGUAUAUAUCCACUUGAGACAUUAGAAAAAACUAUUAAGCAACGAUGCAAAUCUUCAAAAUAGUUUCAUCUAAAAUAUAGUAGUUCACUUUAGCCAUGAAAAAUAAUUCCCUGAAAGGCAUCGUCGUGGAAAGGUAACAACAUGAAAGUGAAAAUGUUGUUUAAAAUAGUUAUGACUAUUAUUUUUCUUGAAAACACAUCAAGAAGAAAUAUUUACGUGUUUUCUGACUAGAAAAUUCUUCUUAUUCUCAUUUGUAGAUAGAUUAAUGUCUUUGUAAAUAUUAGCAAUAUACUCUGUAUGAGAAAAGUAUUUGCUUCUUUUUUAUUUAAGUGGAUUGUUCCCUCCUUUUGCUUAGCGUUGAUGGAGGAUGUGGUUCCCUCACUUGAGAGGUUGCUUCCAUGCUAUCAUGUUUAAUACUUAGUUUGUAUUCAUAUAAUACACUGACUGGACUUCAGUAUCGGGUAGUACGAACAUGAAAAGAAUCUCCCAGAUGACCUGGUUGGCAACCUUGUGAGAUAUGACCAUUUGGAGUCUCUUCGCCUGGUAAGUUCCCUCAAUUGCCGUUUUCCUUCUCUUAGGUGCGCGACCUUGAGCUUAAAGUUAUUCCAUGCUCAUAUUUCAAGGAUUGUGGAGGUCUCUCAGAAUAGUUCUCAUGAUUUUUUCCUUUUGCUAAUUGAGGAGAAUGACAAUGAAUAUGUUAUCUCUACUCUUCUUUUUCUCCAAUUUGAUAUAGAAGAUUUAUGUAGACCAUCUCUACUAGCUAAAAGAUUUUACGUAUUGUGGUAGGUAUUAUAUUUGGACAUAGCUUCAUAUCAGUCGUGUGAAAGUUUUAUGAGUAUCUUGUUGCACUGGUCCAUAGAACUUAGUCUUGGAAUAUCAAUCGUGUGAAGGUUUUAUGAUUAUCUUGUUGCACUGGUCCAUAGAACUUAGCCUUGGAAAUGAAGUUAUGUUUAAGUUCAUAUCAGAAACAAUUAUUCUUAAGUUGGCUAUAGUUUCUAGAGAAAUUUAAUUUCAACUAUUUAUGACACAUACAAUAUGAGUAUGCCUAAGGUUUUAUCGAUGUUAUUGUGCAUAAUUUUCUGUCACCUAUUUGGGAGCUUCAUUAAUAGCAUGUAAGCAUAUCUAGUAUCUAUGUUUAAGGAAAAGACUUGGCAACUAUAACAUUUGCUAAUGAACUUGGCGUGCAACUUCCUUUUACUUCUCCAAGGUAACAUUCUGCUUUUGAUAUUUUUUUGUUCCUUCUCGACUAUAACACAGAAAGAAUCUCUCUUUUAUUAUUUGCACAUCCAUUUUGCUCGCAUAUUAAUCCAUGUAGUUGUUUUUGCUAAUAAAUGUUAGGUGAGGGAGUUGGCUGAAAAAGAAUAUGAUAGACUGAUAGUGAUGGAGUCUUCAAUAUAUUUCUCACAUUAUAUUUUAUCUUUUGAUACAAUUUAUUUUUAUAAUUUUAGGUCACACUCUGAUGUUAAAUAAUUCAGCUGGUGGAAGAUUUGAAUAUGAUGAAAAGCUGCGGAAAUUAUUUGAAGACUAUCAUUCCUCAAGAUUAGUUAUAUAAUAGCAUUAGCUAUUCAAUUCAAACAAAAUAAUUUUAUUUUUUAAGUUAAUGUGACAUUGAUUUUUUUAAUUAGUACUUCUAUUUGUUUGUUAA
Long non-coding RNA from Nicotiana attenuata, 4150 nucleotides. RefSeq lists it as uncharacterized. Lineage: Eukaryota; Viridiplantae; Streptophyta; Magnoliopsida; Solanales; Solanaceae. The record is from RefSeq and is a predicted model, not a curated record. The transcript is spliced from 2 exons.